Molecule: non-coding RNA, 4066 nt
Organism: Lolium perenne
Lineage: Eukaryota; Viridiplantae; Streptophyta; Magnoliopsida; Poales; Poaceae
Source: RefSeq, a predicted model, not a curated record
AGUUGGGUAGAAAGAAAAAAAAAUCGUACAAUAUCGUCGGCCCGUCCGUUCGCCGCCACGGCCAUGAGGCGAUGCGUCGCCCGGCUGCACCCGGAGGAGCAGCGCCAGCGAUGUCGCCACACAUCGGAGGGAGCCAGAUCUUCCCAUCACCGCCGCCUACAUCCCCAUCGCCGCAUCGCCACCACCCGCACCCUCCCUCGGGUUCAGCUCCCUCCUCUCCCUCCUUGGGCGGCUAGCGACCUGAAGAAGAAGUUGGCGUCCUCAUCUCCUUCAUGAGGCGGCUGGUCACGCGGACGAGCACCUCGCCCUCGAGGUGGUUGCCAAUGCGGUGGAGGAUCUCGGCAUCCUUCUUUCCCUCCAGGACGACUGGACGAGAGAAGUUGUAUCUCGCUGGCGGUCCACAGCACACCGUGUCGGCCAGGUCGGUGUUCCCGUACCCUUCCGCGGUAGCCAGGGUGAAGGAAAUCAGACUCUCACUGCCCACAUACGGCCUUCUCAAGUUAGAUUUGUUUCAGAGGUCAGGGUGAGGAGUGGAUGCAUCGCUUGGCGCGAUUCCCAUCUCUCCGAAUUCAUAUGGAUGCAUAUAUGCAUAUUAUAAGCCUGCACUAUCCCUCGCUGCUGUUUGCGUUUCGUUGCUCCUUCUCCUCAUGAAGGCAUCUGUUGUUGUUAUUGCUGUGGUGGUACAUAGGUGACAUGUCAUAUUCUUUCACCCGUGCUUAACUAGAGAACCAAAACAACCAACUGCUUGGUAUGCAAAUAAAGAAUUGCCAGGUUAACUAAGAAAUUAUGUUUCUAUUUUUUCUAACUAGAUUUCAUUAGCUUAGUCUGUACCUAUAUACAUUUUAAUUUUUCCUAGAAGUAUUUUGCUCCUUAAUUGGACCAUGGUAUGAUCAAUCUACACCAGAAUAAAUUUUGUUUGUUUGCUCUUUUGUAUGCCAGCAGUGAUUGCACAAAAGUUCCUCUAGGAAACUGACUGUUCAUUCCAAAACUUGGUUGAUUAAGUAAAUAUGUUGAUCCCUUAGCUUAACAUCGUUUUCAUUAUUAAUGUCCGUACCAGGUAGUCAUGCUUGAAAUGCACAAUGAUUUAACAUGUGAUACUCAUGUGCCUUUAUUCUGGUGUAGUUCCAACAGACAACCUAGGUGAUGGAAGCAGAAUGUACCCAUGAGGAGUGUCAAAAGUGUUCCGUAAUAUAUUCAGAUGUUACUCUCCCGAGUGUCGCUACCAGCAGCAGAGAAGAUUGUAAAAAAAAGAUGAGUGCAGGCUUAAGAGUGGUCAGCGCUUCAUAAAAAACUGACAUGCAUUUUGUUCGCAUCAGAAUUUAGUUAUGUUACCAACUCUUAUUCUUCAGUUUAUCAUCUUCCACUAAAUGCCAUUCUGUUCAUGACUUUUAUAGUAAGGAUUGUCUAUGAUUUGGCAAAAUACAAGCUCUCUUUAAAAUGAUAUCAUUAUAUGGCAUAUGGCCAGCUGUCUGGUUAUGUUUUACUAUGCUUACUUAUAUAAGUAUUUGGAUCAUGCGCCUCUUUAGGAACUUAUCUCAUUCACAAUGUUGAGUUUGGUAGCACAAAAAAUAGAAUUUUGAGGUGAGCCUACAAGAAACAUUGGAAAUAGAAAUUAGUGUAUUUUCUUUCUCUACUUAUUCUUGAUAAGUUACAUGUUAGCCAUGUCGAUGAUCUCACAAAGGGAGAGAUGUAAAAAAAUGGCACCAUAUUAAACCCUUUCUGAUUAUACAUGUAUGUUCUGUGCAAUUUAUUUUGAUCCUUUAGUUAAGAGAGUGUGAUGUUAUGGUCCUACAAAUGAUAGAUGAAAUGGUGGCUUAAUAAAUCUUUCCUCAAACAUGUAGGUGCAUAGGGGCACUAUGAAGUGUUCUUAACCAUAAAUGAAACAUGUCUUUUAGCAUAUGGAAGGGCAACAUGCAUGAUUAUAUAUGAAUGGGGUUGCAGGCUCUAUCUCAGUGUGGUCAUUAUCAGUGGAGGUAGUGUUGUCAUUAUCAGUGGAGAUAACUCCACCAUUCACUUAAAUACGCUAGCUCUUCUCUCUGAAUUAUUUUCCAAGGAUUUUUUUAAUAUUCACUUUACCAAUGAAGAUCCACACUUAAAAACUCACAGGUAUGUAACUGUGAGCAUGCUAUUUAUUUCAACUUAAUGUUCUUACUCUCAGCUAGAUUUACAAAUUGAAGCUGGAGCCUUAAGCAAAACUCACUUUAGUUAUAUUUAGGUGGAGCCUUUGUUGGUGAGAUUGCAGAUUGUUUGUUGAAUUGCUUCUUGGGGUAAGCCAAAGUGCAGAUGUUUCUAUCCAUGUUUCAAGUGGAAAAUCUGAUGAAGAUGCUUUGAAGGGAAGUCAUGUAUGCUUUGCUUGCUUAACCUGCAAACCCGAAAGAUAAAUUGCUUCGACAUGGUGAUGUAUAAAGUUAGCUUCUGCUCCAAUAGCAAAUGAUCGGCCUAUGGAUACCAUGGAGAGGCAAGUGUGCGAUGCCCUUUUCUACUUCGGGAGUUCUGGAUAGGCAUUUAUAUUUUCCUCCUCAAGAUAAAUGAAAAAAGAUAAUGGUCCUUCAAAUUCUUCCUAUUAUUUUUCGAGAACAUAUUUAUGGCAAUGUUGUAUGUUUUAGAAAUAUUUGAAAUUCAGUGGACAACUUGAAUACAGGUUCAAGUUGUGAUCUGCUGGAACCAGGUGAAAGCUGAUUUUUCUUCUUAUAUUAAGUAGAACUGAAUAUUUUUCUGUGUUUAUCUUUCAGUUGACAAACCUGACGAAGGUUUUUGUAUUCGGAAUGUUUUUUGUUCAGAUGAUUCAUAUAUGUACCUAAGCUGUUUCCCCGCUGUUUCAGCAUGUUACUGUGGUUCUGCUGCACAUGAAUAUGAAGCUUUUUAAUUCUACGGUCUCUCCUGAAGAGCGGCAGGAUCUAGCGGUGUUUGCACAGUGGGUUCUCAAUGAACGGAAUUGUACUAAUGACUCCAAAAGGGGGGAAGCUACCCCUUCUUAGAUUUUAUACCACCUAAUAUGAUAUUGUAACCUGAUUCUCGCCAUGUUUCUACUAUUGUUAAUGCAAUAUAUGAUUAAUUUUCUGGAAACUAUUCCGAUCCAUCUUAUCUGGCACAGCGUGCUAUAGGUUAUCCUACUAAUAAUGUAGCCAAUGCCAUAAAUGGUGUGGUUUUCUCUAGAAAUUGACAAGAUAUAUGCUUAAUGGAGAUUAAGUACUGUACCAUUGUAUUUGAGAUUUUGAAUGAUCUUCUAUGACAUCUUCCUUGAUGGAGAUUCAGCACUGUACUGUAUUUGAGAUUCUGAACCAUCUGCUUGCUACCGUUCAAAUAACGUUUUCCUUUCCUAGAAGGUGAUCUGAUUCUAACUUUGACCUCAAGCUGCUCCCUCCCUUGACCGGUGAAUUGUUAUUCAUAUAGGGUUCACAAGUACUCCCUCCGGUCGAUUUUAAUCGGCGCGGGGUGGAGCAACGUCAAUUAAAAGCGACCAGAGGUAGUAAUUUGUUCAACUAUAAUACAGUAGCCAGUGCAUGAGACAGAGAUAAGGCAUCACUGCAUCAGCUACAGUUUUUGUGUGCCGUACAGACGAAUUAAAGGGACCGUGUUUCAAAGUAUCACUCCACUGUGUUCAACUACAGGCUGAUUUCAAGAUGGUUUUUGCCUGCAACAGGACAGGCCAAGCACUAUAUCAGAUCUGUUAGAAAAUAGAGCGCCCUGUCGGAACAUUAUGUGGUCAUGUAUUGGUUCAGGCAAACUAAUUACUAAAAUGGUGCCAUCUACAAAGUCUGCAUCGCUUUUUCGAGAUCUUUUUCAGCUCCACCAACCUAGAUAGGUGCUUAUCCUUCCGCUCUAUGCCAGUGCCUUAUGCUGAAGCCUUUUGUUAUAACAGUACAGCAGUGGUGAGGUUUUUUUUUAUUGCCAGAGCUAAAAUUGCAGUCUCUUAUAUUGAUAGUUAGUUCUAAAGCGUUUGUGCAGCCGGUAGUCGGAACUGGAGUCUUUUGGAAUGACACGUUGUUUCUGUACACAUGUGUGCUCUGCAAUCAGUCUGUGUUUCUCCACCAUCUCCUGUUUAAACCGUACCCCAACUCUUUAU